This 393-nucleotide ribosomal RNA is filed under the name Mimus polyglottos (Northern mockingbird). RNAcentral's name for it is "partial 16S ribosomal RNA". It matches the Rfam family "Archaeal large subunit ribosomal RNA", at positions 2007 to 2553 of the family's 2987-position model. The record is from RNAcentral. Lineage: Eukaryota; Metazoa; Chordata; Aves; Passeriformes; Mimidae.
GCCGCGGUAUCCUAACCGUGCAAAGGUAGCGCAAUCAAUUGUCCCAUAAAUCGAGACUAGUAUGAAUGGCUAAACGAGGUCUUAACUGUCUCUUGCAGGCAAUCGGUGAAAUUGAUCCCCCUGUACAAAAGCAGGGAUAAACCCAUAAGACGAGAAGACCCUGUGGAACUUCAAAACCAGCGGCCACCCCAAUAAGACACAAACACCCACCGGGUUCACCCACAUAUUGGGACGCUGGCCCGCGUUUUUCGGUUGGGGCGACCUUGGAGAAAAACAAAUCCUCCAAAAAUUGGACCAUCCCUCUAGACUAAGAGCAACCCCUCAACGUGCUAACAGCAACCAGACCCAAUACAAUUGACCAAUGGACCAAGCUACCCCAGGGAUAACAGCGCA